AGGGGUGUAGCUCAGUUGGUAGAGCGGCGGUCUCCAAAACCGCAGGCCGGGGGUUCGAGACCCUCCGCCCCUGCCA
Molecule: transfer RNA, 76 nt
Filed under: Alphaproteobacteria bacterium
Lineage: Bacteria; Pseudomonadati; Pseudomonadota; Alphaproteobacteria
Also listed under: 5 other names
Description: tRNA-Trp
Rfam family: tRNA
About the family: Transfer RNA (tRNA) molecules are approximately 80 nucleotides in length. Their secondary structure includes four short double-helical elements and three loops (D, anti-codon, and T loops).
Source: RNAcentral